UGGUGCAAGGCCUGCAAGGCCGGUCGGACGCGACCUCCCCCGCGAUGGCCAGAGAAGGAUACAAAGAAAACAAAAGGCGGCGGGAGAAGGAAGGCGAAGUCCCGCCGCCUCUCCUUUCCCUACCCCAUACAGGAGUAGGUGAUCACAGCGUACCCGAAGAAGGCACCAGCUAACGGGACGUUUGUGUCAAAAUACCUGAAGUGAAGUUCUCGGGCCUUGAAAGGGAAGCCGGACUGGCAUAAGAACUCGGAGUGCCGCACCUAACGUAAGACGGGCUGAGUGCAGGAUCAGCACGUGCUAGGGAGCAGUUCUGCAACACGAGGCGGCUCCUACAGGACACCAUGCUGUGAGAGUUGCCCCGAUUAAGAAGGAGCGUGGUUGUGGUACGCCCACCAGGGGCGAAGGAUUCCUUCUGGAACGACUUUAUC
This 428-nucleotide unclassified non-coding RNA is filed under the name plant metagenome. RNAcentral describes it as "partial contains 5.8S ribosomal RNA, internal transcribed spacer 2, and large subunit ribosomal RNA". The record is from RNAcentral.